Long non-coding RNA from Seriola aureovittata, 181 nucleotides. RefSeq lists it as uncharacterized. The transcript is spliced from 2 exons. The record is from RefSeq and is a predicted model, not a curated record. Lineage: Eukaryota; Metazoa; Chordata; Actinopteri; Carangiformes; Carangidae.
GUUGGUGGGUGUGGGUGCGGAGGGGUGCGUCUAAGCGCACAUGUUAAUUCAUCUCUCCUUAUCUUUGUUUCUUUGUUUUUGUGUGUUAGGUAGCCGGUCGUGGAAAUGUGUAAACGCUCACACUCAGAAUGUCACAUUACAGAUUGUGGGGAACAGAAUAAAGAAAAUUCACGUGGCAGCA